AUUGAACGCUGGCGGCAUGCCUUACACAUGCAAGUCGAACGGCAGCACGGGUGCUUUCACCUGGUGGCGAGUGGCGAACGGGUGAGUAAUACAUCGGAACAUGUCCUGUAGUGGGGGAUAGCCCGGCGAAAGCCGGAUUAAUACCGCAUACGAUCUACGGAUGAAAGCGGGGGACCUUCGGGCCUCGCGCUAUAGGGUUGGCCUAUGGCUGUUUAGCGAGUUGGUGGGGUAAAGGCCUACCAAGGCGACGAUCAGUAGCUGGUCGGAGAGGACGACCAGCAACACGGGAAGUGAGAAACGGCCCAGACUCCUACGGGAGGAAGCAGUGGGGAAUUUUGGACAAGGGGCGAAAGCCGGAUCCAGCAAUGCCGCGUGUGUGAAGAAGGCGUUAGGGUUGUAAAGCACUGUUGUCCGGAAAGAAAUACAUGGCCCUAAUACGGUCGGGGGAUGACGGUACCGGAAGAAUAAGCACCGGCUAACUACGUG
This 486-nucleotide ribosomal RNA is filed under the name uncultured bacterium. Its description in RNAcentral is "partial 16S ribosomal RNA". It matches the Rfam family "Bacterial small subunit ribosomal RNA", at positions 29 to 507 of the family's 1533-position model. The record is from RNAcentral.